UAGAGAGAGACAUGCGCGCAUAUCAAUAAGCGGAGGAAAAGAAACUAACAAGGAUUCCCCUAGUAACGGCGAGUGAAGCGGGAAGAGCUCAAAUUUGAAAUCUUAAAGGGUUUCCCUUUACGAAUUGUAGUUUAAAGAAGUGUUUUCUGUUGAGGUUUUGGUAAAAGUUCUUUGGAAUAGGACAUCAUAGAGGGUGAGAAUCCCGUAUUUGACCUUUACUUUCAACUUUGUGAUACACUUUCAAAGAGUCGGAUUGUUUGGGAAUGCAGUCCAAAAUGGGUGGUAAAUUUCAUCUAAAGCUAAAUAUUGGCGAGAGACCGAUAGCGAACAAGUACCGUGAGGGAAAGAUGAAAAGAACUUUGAAAAGAGAGUUAAACAGUACGUGAAAUUGUCAAAAGGGAAGCGUUUGACACCAGUGUUGUUUUUCUGAAAAUCAAUUAAAGAACUGUUUAUGCUAAGUUGUUUAGACUUUAUCAGCUAACUGUUUAGUUUUGAGCUUUUCUUUAAUGCACUUUUCAGUUAACAAGUCAACAUCAAUUUCUUUUGCUGUAAAAAAGCUUGAGGAAGGUGGCUUGAGAUUCGUCUUAAGUGUUUAUAGCCUCUUGCCUAUGCAGUCGGAGAGAUUGAGGUCUGCAGCGUAGAUCCUUCGGGGCUAAAUGCAUUUGUGCUAAGUUAUAGCAUUUUAUAGACAACUUGUUGACUAUGAUUUGUCUUGUAGCUUACUCGCUUAUGUUAUUUUACCUACGCUUAGGAUGUUGAGCGCAUGUCUCUCUCU
RNAcentral lists this ribosomal RNA (775 nucleotides) under uncultured Neocallimastigales. RNAcentral describes it as "partial large subunit ribosomal RNA". It matches the Rfam family "Eukaryotic large subunit ribosomal RNA", at positions 23 to 616 of the family's 3401-position model. The record is from RNAcentral. Lineage: Eukaryota; Fungi; Neocallimastigomycota; Neocallimastigomycetes; Neocallimastigales.